This 586-nucleotide long non-coding RNA is filed under the name Chrysemys picta bellii (western painted turtle). RNAcentral's name for it is "lncRNA (ENSCPBG00000002900.1)". Lineage: Eukaryota; Metazoa; Chordata; Testudines; Emydidae. The record is from RNAcentral.
UGGGUUUGAAAAAUAAAAACUGUUUGUUGCAGUGCUGUCACUGAUGAUCAUGCUUUGCCAUCUGUAUGGUUGAAUAGACUUGGACAAUUCACAAGGCCCACAGGAUUGAAGGCUUGGUCUUCUUCAUACUCCAUAUGAUUUUGUCUGAUCUAGUCUGUAAGGUCCUUGGGGCAGAGAGAAUGUUUUCCUUUUUCUAUGUCAUUGAAUGGCACUCAUUAAAGUGUUUUCCAAAGACAGAUUGCUACCUACAGUGGGCUGGACAAGACUUUAGUAUUCUGAGAGGCACAUCAAAGCCUGCAGCAUGAUAUGUGUCUGUAUUAUGACCAUUUUUAAAAGCUCUCUGCCUAUCUGUCUUUGUCUUUAAGCAAUUUUCUUUACUUCCAGUGGAAAGUUAAGAUGUGGGUAGAGACACUAAGAUCUGAUUUAAGCUCAUGAGGUUUUGGUGAAAGCUAGAAGCUCAUUAUCUUCUGUAAUGUGUUGCGGUUUAUAUCAUUGUCUAGCAAAGUAAAAUUGAAACCACUGAGUAAGUGCCUUUUCCCCCUAGCCUGUGUAAGUGCCUCUUUCCUAAUUGAAGACUCAAACUUAU